GACGCCGUAGCUAAGUGGUUAUAGCGUGCGAUUGCAAUUGGUGCUUCGAGUAGUUAUCGCAAGGUCCCGGGUUCAACUCUCGGCGGUGUCU
Non-coding RNA from Mycena floridula, 91 nucleotides. The record is from the annotation of a GenBank genome assembly. NCBI's taxonomy places the organism in Eukaryota, Fungi, Basidiomycota, Agaricomycetes, Agaricales, Mycenaceae.